RNAcentral lists this ribosomal RNA (1423 nucleotides) under Escherichia coli. RNAcentral's name for it is "partial 23S ribosomal RNA". It matches the Rfam family "Bacterial large subunit ribosomal RNA", at positions 1 to 1468 of the family's 2925-position model. The record is from RNAcentral. RNAcentral also lists the same sequence under 1 other name. Lineage: Bacteria; Pseudomonadati; Pseudomonadota; Gammaproteobacteria; Enterobacterales; Enterobacteriaceae.
GGUUAAGCGACUAAGCGUACACGGUGGAUGCCCUGGCAGUCAGAGGCGAUGAAGGACGUGCUAAUCUGCGAUAAGCGUCGGUAAGGUGAUAUGAACCGUUAUAACCGGCGAUUUCCGAAUGGGGAAACCCAGUGUGUUUCGACACACUAUCAUUAACUGAAUCCAUAGGUUAAUGAGGCGAACCGGGGGAACUGAAACAUCUAAGUACCCCGAGGAAAAGAAAUCAACCGAGAUUCCCCCAGUAGCGGCGAGCGAACGGGGAGCAGCCCAGAGCCUGAAUCAGUGUGUGUGUUAGUGGAAGCGUCUGGAAAGGCGCGCGAUACAGGGUGACAGCCCCGUACACAAAAAUGCACAUGCUGUGAGCUCGAUGAGUAGGGCGGGACACGUGGUAUCCUGUCUGAAUAUGGGGGGACCAUCCUCCAAGGCUAAAUACUCCUGACUGACCGAUAGUGAACCAGUACCGUGAGGGAAAGGCGAAAAGAACCCCGGCGAGGGGAGUGAAAAAGAACCUGAAACCGUGUACGUACAAGCAGUGGGAGCACGCUUAGGCGUGUGACUGCGUACCUUUUGUAUAAUGGGUCAGCGACUUAUAUUCUGUAGCAAGGUUAACCGAAUAGGGGAGCCGAAGGGAAACCGAGUCUUAACUGGGCGUUAAGUUGCAGGGUAUAGACCCGAAACCCGGUGAUCUAGCCAUGGGCAGGUUGAAGGUUGGGUAACACUAACUGGAGGACCGAACCGACUAAUGUUGAAAAAUUAGCGGAUGACUUGUGGCUGGGGGUGAAAGGCCAAUCAAACCGGGAGAUAGCUGGUUCUCCCCGAAAGCUAUUUAGGUAGCGCCUCGUGAAUUCAUCUCCGGGGGUAGAGCACUGUUUCGGCAAGGGGGUCAUCCCGACUUACCAACCCGAUGCAAACUGCGAAUACCGGAGAAUGUUAUCACGGGAGACACACGGCGGGUGCUAACGUCCGUCGUGAAGAGGGAAACAACCCAGACCGCCAGCUAAGGUCCCAAAGUCAUGGUUAAGUGGGAAACGAUGUGGGAAGGCCCAGACAGCCAGGAUGUUGGCUUAGAAGCAGCCAUCAUUUAAAGAAAGCGUAAUAGCUCACUGGUCGAGUCGGCCUGCGCGGAAGAUGUAACGGGGCUAAACCAUGCACCGAAGCUGCGGCAGCGACGCUUAUGCGUUGUUGGGUAGGGGAGCGUUCUGUAAGCCUGUGAAGGUGUGCUGUGAGGCAUGCUGGAGGUAUCAGAAGUGCGAAUGCUGACAUAAGUAACGAUAAAGCGGGUGAAAAGCCCGCUCGCCGGAAGACCAAGGGUUCCUGUCCAACGUUAAUCGGGGCAGGGUGAGUCGACCCCUAAGGCGAGGCCGAAAGGCGUAGUCGAUGGGAAACAGGUUAAUAUUCCUGUACUUGGUGUUACUGCGAAGGG